AUCAUUAUUACUCAAGAACUGCAAAACAAACCGUAAUAUCCUCGCAGGUGGUUAUACUACGAAUUAUUUGUGAUUUUUUGGCAUACUACAUAUAUCCGUCACGGGUGCGGUUUUUUUUAAAAUCAUUAAUUGUAUCUAUGGAAAAAGCACAAAAACCAAAGUCAUUAUUUUAAGAUUUUUUUGAUUGAAAUGGGUUUUGCUUAGUGUGUUUAUGCUAAAUUAUAAGUUUCAGACGAUUUGAGUUGCAAAUAGUAGAGUUAUGAUUUAAAAAAAAAAAAAAAAAUUAUGGAGCCGGAAUAAAAAAUCAAGAUAUCUCAAGAACCGCAACAAAUACGGUAAUAUCCUCGCAGAUGGUUAUACUACAAAUUAUUUGAUAUUACCGUAUUUGUUGCGGUUCUUGAGAUAAUUUGAUUUUUUGUUCCGGCUCCAUACAUUUAUUUGGAAAAAAAUCAUAACUCUACUAUUUUCAACUCAAAUCGUCUGAAACUUAUAAUUUAGCAUAAACACACUAAGCAAAACCCAUUUCAAUAAAAAAAAUCUUAAAAUAAUGACUUUGGUUUAAGUGCUUUUUCCAUAGAAACAAUUAAUGAUUUAAAAAAAACCACACCCGUGACGGAUAUAUGUAGUAUGCCAAAAAAUCACAUAUAAUUCACUGUAUAACCACCUGUGAGGAUAUUACGGUUUGUUUAGUGGUUCUUGAGUAAUAAUGAUUUCUUGUUCCUGCUCCACACAUU
Cydia fagiglandana is the source of this 734-nucleotide long non-coding RNA. RefSeq lists it as uncharacterized. The record is from RefSeq and is a predicted model, not a curated record. The transcript has 2 exons. Lineage: Eukaryota; Metazoa; Arthropoda; Insecta; Lepidoptera; Tortricidae.